Portunus trituberculatus (swimming crab) is the source of this 579-nucleotide long non-coding RNA. RefSeq lists it as uncharacterized. The record is from RefSeq and is a predicted model, not a curated record. The transcript has 4 exons. Lineage: Eukaryota; Metazoa; Arthropoda; Malacostraca; Decapoda; Portunidae.
AGAUCGGUCUAUGACCUCUGAGCUCACUCCGUAAUGGGGAAGACUAGCUGGGUGACCAGCAGACGAUCGAGGUGAAUUACACUGGGACCACCGUGGUACAAUUGAACCACGCGCGCAUGGGGUCCCAAACACAUAUUUUCGAAUCCUGGCCACGAUCCGAGUGUAGGAAGGGCUUCCACUCGGGAAUCGCGGCCUGUUGUUGCUGGCGGUGGUGUUGCUGGCGGUGUGCGUGACCACCAGUGAAGCAUACAUUAAAUGCAAGACCUAUUGCCCCGGACCAUCUGGCAAAAUAUAUUGCUGUGACUAAAACCCUGGCACGUGUCCAGGAAACUCACAAUGCCAUGGACGGAUAUGCUCCUUCGACCAAGAUUGCUUACCACACGAAAAAUGCUGCCGUAAAUCAUGUGGCGGGAAAACUUGCACAAAUGUUCGUCCGUACAGGCUCCCCUAACCACCACCACAACCACCACCACCACUUUGACCUGAGAGGAAACAUGAAUCUGAUGUUAACUGUUGCUAAUUGAUGUUAAAUAAUUAUGAAAUAAACCAUUGGCUAAAAUAUAAUUUGUUUUGUAUAUC